UGUCUGUGCUGGCUCCUAAUUUCAAUGCUUGUAGAUUUCUGUCCUUCUGUGCCAUUAUUGGAGUGGGUAGGAAUUUUCUAAGUCAAACUUUGUGUGUGUGUGUGUGUGUGUGUGUGUGUGUGUGUGUGUGUGUGUGUGUGAACAUUUCCCAUCACACAGCCAAAGGAAAGAAAGAAGACAUAGAGCAGAGAGGAAAGUAAGGCUUGCUCAGAACACCGUUGACCAUAUUUGUGAUGACAGUUUGUCAAGAUUCACCGAUAUUUGCAAACAACUUGUGUAGCAUAUGCUAUCUCUAACACCCAUGGAAACUAUUCCUAUCCUAUCCAACUUGUCAAAAUAGCAAUAAUCAACUUAAAGUACUUCAGUGCUAAAUGACUCAUUGAAUUCACUCAUGGAAACAUUUGAUAGUUUUCUGAAGCUCCUUCGCCUUUAUGUGUGUGAAGAAACAUCAAAAUUAAUAAGAAAAUCAGCAGCCGUGGUUUUCCCCUGUUGGUAGGAAGCUGUCCCUGGUCGCACGAACUUGUUAGCAGAGAUUUCUCCAGGACAGCCUGAGACUACCACAGAAGACAAAGCCCUAUCAGAGGAGGGCACUGAAAUUAUACUUGAGCUGGACCUCAGCAAACAGCACGCUGGGUGUAUGAAGCUAAACACUGCAGGCAACAUAAGUGUAUUAUUAGAAAAAGCAGGGAAUCCAAAGAGAACCUUCCUUCCAUGGGAGUGGCAACAGGAAGCUGGCUCUCAGUAUUAAGACCACAACACUAAGUAAGUCAACUGAAACUCUGAGGAAGGCUGUUUCUCCACUAGGCAUAACAUUUAUAUAGUUUUCAUGAACGUCUAGAUGCGGUUGUUGCUCACUGUCCAACACACAGAUGCUCUUGUCUCCACUGCAGUUUCCAAGUGUUGUCUUAAGAAGUUGCAAGUGCUGAUCACAUAAAUAGGCUUUAUCAUAACUAUAAUUAACUGAGGCUUGAUGAAGGCAGAUCUAAACACACUUUUCUUUUGGUCUGGACUUGGAGUGUUUGGGUCUUUCAAGUUCCCACAGCCUUGCCACUCAGGCCCAGUAUGUGGAUGGAUCCCUUUGACUGGAAGUCCAUGUGUCUUCCAGGGUUGCUCUCCAUUUCUGUCCUCUCAGGGACACCAUGAGCUGCUGCUGGGCUCUUUGGUCUUAUAACGCAGUUUUAAAUGUCUCCCUGUGAACUUGUUUUCUUAAACAUUUACCCUGUUCUCAGGAAGCAAAGAUAAGAACUAUGAUUUUUUUUCCUCACCCAGUUCAGGAAACAGGGGAUACCUGUUUUGUCAUCUUUUGUCACCUUGUCUCAAGAUAGUUUUUAGAAAGUAAGACAGGCUACAUACAGGUCCAGAGCUCAACUGUGGAAGACUUAGGCAGCACACGCCAGCUCCCACAGCACAACACACAUUCUCGUGGAGAAAACUAAACUAAAGAGGACCAAAUACCUACACCCCCGA
Molecule: long non-coding RNA, 1467 nt
Organism: Mesocricetus auratus (golden hamster)
Lineage: Eukaryota; Metazoa; Chordata; Mammalia; Rodentia; Cricetidae
Exons: 4
Source: RefSeq, a predicted model, not a curated record